RNAcentral lists this ribosomal RNA (440 nucleotides) under uncultured bacterium. Its description in RNAcentral is "partial 16S ribosomal RNA". It matches the Rfam family "Bacterial small subunit ribosomal RNA", at positions 338 to 795 of the family's 1533-position model. The record is from RNAcentral.
CCUACGGGUGGCAGCAGUGGGGAAUAUUGCACAAUGGGGGAAACCCUGAUGCAGCGACGCCGCGUGAGUGAAGAAGUAAUUCGUUACGUAAAGCUCUAUCAGCAGGGAAGAAAAUGACGGUACCUGAGUAAGAAGCCCCGGCUAACUACGUGCCAGCAGCCGCGGUAAUACGUAGGGGGCAAGCGUUAUCCGGAUUUACUGGGGGAAAAGGGAGCGUAGACGGUGAUGCAAGUCAGAAGUGAAAGCCCGUGGCUCAACCCCGGGACUGCUUGUGAAACUGUGUGCCUGGAGUGCAGGAGAGAUAAGCGGAAUUCCUGGUGUAGCGGUGAAAUGCGUAGAUAUCAGGAGGAACACCAGUGGCGAAGGCGGCUUACUGGACUGUAACUGACGUUGAGGCUCGAAAGCGUGGGGAGCAAACAGGAUUAGAUACCCCAGUAGUC